AGCCAUUGACAUCGACAUCUUGAACGCACAUUGCGGCUCCGGGUCACUCCCGGAGCCACGCCUGUCUGAGGGUCGGCUGAACAAAGCACUCGCCAGGUCGUCUCGCUGCGGCGAGAGCGGCGGUACACCUUUCUGGCGCGUUGACACGUCGCGUGGGGUGAGGCAAGAGAGGGACCCCCGGUCUUCGAGAGAAGCCGGGACCCUCGCACGCACACACACCACGCGUCUGUCCCGAGACUACAGCCUCUCAAACCGUCUCUCCGGGGGCAAGAAAGAGCUAAAACCGAAAGGUCUCGCGGCCUACGGAGACGUGGUUCGGGUAACCCCAAACCAACACGUCUCGCGCGAGCUUCCCGACGGGCCUCUUCCUUGGCGCGAUUCCAACCCCUGGGACAUCGAGAGAUGUGCGCGGCUUCUGGCCGCGCAAGGUUAGCGGUAUAAAGCCGCCGACCAAAACCCUUUCGCUCUCCGACCUCAGAUCAGACGAGACUACCCGCUGAAUUUAAGCAUAUAAUUAAGCGGAGGAAAAGAAACUAACAAGGAUUCCCCUAGUAACGGCGAGUGAAGGGGG
Molecule: ribosomal RNA, 571 nt
Filed under: Solen grandis (grand razor shell)
Lineage: Eukaryota; Metazoa; Mollusca; Bivalvia; Adapedonta; Solenidae
Description: eukaryotic LSU rRNA
Rfam family: Eukaryotic large subunit ribosomal RNA (bases 470-571)
Source: RNAcentral